GGCCUCCGUGGUUUAGUCCGAAGAACACCCGACUAUGGUGCGGUGGGAUUCGGGUACCGGAUUCGGCACCGGGUUCGAGCCUCGAUGGAGUCA
Henosepilachna vigintioctopunctata is the source of this 93-nucleotide non-coding RNA. NCBI's taxonomy places the organism in Eukaryota, Metazoa, Arthropoda, Insecta, Coleoptera, Coccinellidae. The record is from the annotation of a GenBank genome assembly.